CCCCUCAGGCCACCAGAGCCCGGA
This 24-nucleotide non-coding RNA is filed under the name Mus musculus (house mouse). The record is from RNAcentral. Lineage: Eukaryota; Metazoa; Chordata; Mammalia; Rodentia; Muridae. RNAcentral also lists the same sequence under 1 other name.